AAUGGCAUCACGAAGGUUAUACUGUCUCCUUUUUCUAAUCAGUGAAACUAAUCUCCCCGUGAAGAAGCGAGGAUAAAACUAUAAGACGAGAAGACCCUAUGGAGCUUAAAACAGUGUAGCAUCUGCCCCAUAAUACAUAAAUUUCUGAAUAAAGACUCUACUGGGCAACAUGACUGCGAGUUUUUGGUUGGGGUGACCACGGAGCACAGUACAACCUCCAUGCUGAAAGAAAAUUUCUAAGCUAAGGUCUACAAACCUAAGCAUCAACAUAUUGACAUCCAUUGACCCAAUACACUUGAACAACGAACCAAGUUACCCUAGGGAUAACAGCGCAAUCCACUUCAAAAGCUCCUAUCGACAAGUGGGUUUACGACCUCGAUGUUGGAUCAGGGUCUCCCAGUGGUGCAGCCGCUACUAAAGGUUCGUUUGUUCAACGAUUAAAACCCU
This 447-nucleotide ribosomal RNA is filed under the name Bufo bufo (common toad). RNAcentral describes it as "partial 16S ribosomal RNA". It matches the Rfam family "Bacterial large subunit ribosomal RNA", at positions 1995 to 2597 of the family's 2925-position model. Lineage: Eukaryota; Metazoa; Chordata; Amphibia; Anura; Bufonidae. The record is from RNAcentral.